CGGACGGGUGAGUAAUGUCUGGGAAACUGCCCGAUGGAGGGGGAUAACUACUGGAAACGGUAGCUAAUACCGCAUAACGUCGCAAGACCAAAGAGGGGGACCUUGGGCCUCUUGCCAUCGGAUGUGCCCAGAUGGGAUUAGCUAGUAGGUGAGGUAACGGCUUACCUAGGCGACGAUCCCUAGCUGGUCUGAGAGGAUGAUCAGCCACACUGGGACUGAGACACGGCCCAG
RNAcentral lists this ribosomal RNA (231 nucleotides) under uncultured bacterium. RNAcentral's name for it is "partial 16S ribosomal RNA". It matches the Rfam family "Bacterial small subunit ribosomal RNA", at positions 99 to 334 of the family's 1533-position model. The record is from RNAcentral.